RNAcentral lists this transfer RNA (65 nucleotides) under Dipodomys ordii (Ord's kangaroo rat). It matches the Rfam family "tRNA". From Rfam's summary of the family: Transfer RNA (tRNA) molecules are approximately 80 nucleotides in length. Their secondary structure includes four short double-helical elements and three loops (D, anti-codon, and T loops). Lineage: Eukaryota; Metazoa; Chordata; Mammalia; Rodentia; Heteromyidae. The record is from Rfam by way of RNAcentral.
GGUGGCUCAGUGGUAGAGUGCUUGCCUUGCAUGCAUGAGGCUCUGGGUUUGAAUCCCCAGCACCA